This 301-nucleotide ribosomal RNA is filed under the name uncultured bacterium. RNAcentral describes it as "partial 16S ribosomal RNA". It matches the Rfam family "Bacterial small subunit ribosomal RNA", at positions 509 to 808 of the family's 1533-position model. The record is from RNAcentral.
CAGCAGCCACGGGAAUACGUAGGUGGCAAGCGUUGUCCGGAAUUAUUGGGCGUAAAGCGCGCGCAGGCGGAUCGGUCAGUCUGUCUUAAAAGUUCGGGGCUUAACCCCGUGAUGGGAUGGAAACUGCCAAUCUAGAGUAUUGGAGAGGAAAGCGGAAUUCCUAGUGUAGCGGUGAAAUGCGUAGAUAUUAGGAGGAACACCGGUGGCGAAAGCGGCUUUCUGGACGACAACUGACGCUGAGGCGCGAAAGCCAGGGGGGCAAACGGGAUUAGAUACCCCCGUAGUCCCUGUCUCUUAUACC